RNAcentral lists this long non-coding RNA (1294 nucleotides) under Sus scrofa (pig). RNAcentral's name for it is "lncRNA (ENSSSCG00015012614.1)". The record is from RNAcentral. Lineage: Eukaryota; Metazoa; Chordata; Mammalia; Artiodactyla; Suidae.
AGAAAUCGAACUGACGCUACAGCAGUAACCAGAGCCACAGCAGUGACAGCACCAGAUCCUUAACCCACUAAUCCACCAGGGAACUCCACUGGGAACUCUUUUUGCCAAGUAUCUCUUGCUGCCAGCCCCACUCCUCUCCAGGAUCUGCACUGUUUUCCUUCUGGACUUCAACGGGCUCUACCAAGUCUCGCAACUGCUCUCAUAGAAUUAAUUCCUCCCGCGCCCAACGUCUUCUCCACGGAAUCAUCAGAAUUCCCUUUCUGCAACCACCUGGGAUCAUAUCAGUCUAUGUUCAAAGCAGCUGGUGGUCCCCAAAUUCAUAAGGCUGGUACCUGGGGGGCCUGUCCCCAUAGCCCUGCUUCAUUUAUGCUCGCCCCACCCAUCUGAGCUUCUUGCCCUGGAAAUUCCACACUGUUCCUUGACUCCAAGCCUUGGCAUAUGCUAAGCCUUCUGCCUGGCACAGAAUUCUCAAUAGAGAGUAAUGCAUGAAAGAGGCAAUCAGAAAUGCUCCCUGGAAAGAUGAAUGAAUGAAUUCAUUAGAUGGAUGAAUGGACUAUUUUACUUAAUAUAAUUAUUUACAAGAAAAGGCAAAAAUGACAUGAAGAUACAUGCAAAGUAAAUUUAAAGGUUAAUGUAAGAAUGGCAAAUGCAAAGCAGGAAAAAGAAACACUUUUCCCCACUGAGAACAACCAAAGCUAAGCCCUUUAGUUACUGCCAUCUGGGGCGAAGGUGGGUGCCAUUUGGCUCGGAGCUCACCGUGCCUCAUUAUGCCUGCUUUGCACUGCCUUCCACAGUCCUGGGUCCAGACGCCUUUGAGUAAUGUGCACAGAGCAUCAUAGGCUGCAAAGCUCUAUGGCACCAGGGAUGCCUGAAGGAUGCUCAGACCAUUUUACAGGUCAGGAAACUGAGGCUGGAUAUGAGUUUAGCAACUAGUUCAAGGUCACUAAGAUCAAAGCCACAGAGCCAAGGCUGGAAUUUGGGUCGGGGGUAUAAAUUCCAUACAUUAAGCUAGGUGACAGGUGCAAGGAUAUCCUUUUGUUGAUCUCAUCUUACCCAUUUCCAGGAAGGCUUGUCACUUGCCAGGGAGCCCUAACAGAGUGGUCUGAAGUUCAGGAAAAAGAAGAAAAGCAAAGGAAGAAGGGAAGAGGGCAGACAGCGGAGGAUUUGCUGCAGUUGGGUUUUCAAGAACAAAAAAUACACAUAGGGGAGGCAUGGGAUCCUUCCUUCCCAAACAUAUUUCCUUUUGGCCUGAGAUGUUACAAGACUCCAAAUUGGAGCUUGUCUUGUCUCCUCC